This is a non-coding RNA of Myotis davidii, 81 nucleotides long. The record is from Rfam. NCBI's taxonomy places the organism in Eukaryota, Metazoa, Chordata, Mammalia, Chiroptera, Vespertilionidae.
GGUGGUUCUUGGGUGACACACCUGCACCCCGGAAUUGGGCUCCCUCCUCUCUGGUUCCGGAUGUGUCACCUGAGAACCACA